GUGGGCAAAAUCAAUAGAAUUUAAAUAGUUAUGCAUUACACAGAAAUGUUGAAAUUAACAUUUUUUAAAAACUAAUUACAAAACUUUUCUGUUUGAUGAUACCAUACAUGAAAUAAAAUUAAAUUUAAUAACAAAAUAUAUGCUUUGACUAUUUAAAUGUGAUAUGAAUGUCGAGUAUAAAAUAAACCUGUUUCUACUUUCCUGUGUGUUGUUUGUUCUCGGUAAAGAUCAAAGAGUGCAACAAAUGCAUUUGCUUAGUAGAUAUCUAUUUCAUUCCCUACAAAAUUAGUAAGUUGCGGUGAGUUGACAACUGAGUGACUUGUAACAUUUAAAUAAAAAUUGCCAAAGUAGAAGAAUCAUUCAGAUCAAUCAGUCUAGAGAUUUUUCAGAGCAGACCUAUUUUAUCCUGUAAUUUCCAAGUUGAUUUUCACUUCCCUUCAAUUUAGUCAAUAGUCCUCUCUACUAUUUAUCCUUAAUUUUACAAGCUGGUUGACAACACACAAAGAAUUAUGUUUGACAAACAAAUGAGCUGUCAUAAGCUUGCAAACUGUAGUCCAAAAUAGCCAAAUCAAGGGAGGGGGGAUCUUUCUUUCUCUUCUUUUGAAAUUUUCAGCUUUUGUGGCCUAAAUUUUAUAAGCCAUUUGUCAGCUGUUAGUGAAUAAAGCAAUCACUAUUCGGUGAAUGAACCCACUUGUUUCCAAAUGGUUAAUCAUCCCAGUUGGCAGCAGAAACAGAUUAGAUAUUAACUAAGCAAGUAGUAAAAUUGUUAAUUAUAUGCUACCUAGUUUUGCCAACACAUAUUUUGUGUAUGACUGCAAUUGCUUUACAUUUUAGCCUCUAGAAUGUUGUUCAAAAUGUAAUUAUCUUUUUGUAUCAUAGUUAGGCAUGUUUUGUUAUUGUUCAUUGUUUCCAAUAUAACUUGCUGGUUGUCAACUUUUAGAUGGCUUUUAGAAGUUACCCUCUUAACCUAAACUAGAAACAGAGCACAGUUAAUCCUCUGUACAAUUACAUAUAUUUAAUAAAAAGUAAGACUG
Molecule: non-coding RNA, 1034 nt
Organism: Pelobates cultripes (western spadefoot toad)
Lineage: Eukaryota; Metazoa; Chordata; Amphibia; Anura; Pelobatidae
Source: the annotation of a GenBank genome assembly